This 466-nucleotide ribosomal RNA is filed under the name uncultured bacterium. RNAcentral describes it as "partial 16S ribosomal RNA". It matches the Rfam family "Bacterial small subunit ribosomal RNA", at positions 29 to 507 of the family's 1533-position model. The record is from RNAcentral.
AUGAACGCUGGCGGCGUGCUUAACCCAUGCCAGUCGCACGGAAAGGCCCAAGCUUGCUUGGGUACUCGAGUGGCGAACGGGUGAGUAACACGUGGGUGAUCUGCCCUGCACUUCGGGAUAAGCCUGGGAAACUGGGUCUAAUACCGGAUAGGACCACAUUUUGGAUGGUGUGGUGGAAAGUUUUUCGGUGUGGGAUGAGCUCGCGGCCUAUCAGCUUGUUGGUGGGGUAAUGGCCUACCAAGGCGUCGACGGGUAGCCGGCCUGAGAGGGUGUACGGCCACAUUGGGACUGAGAUACGGCCCAGACUCCUACGGGAGGCAGCAGUGGGGAAUAUUGCACAAUGGGCGCAAGCCUGAUGCAGCGACGCCGCGUGGGGGAUGACGGCCUUCGGGUUGUAAACUCCUUUCGCUAGGGACGAAGCGUUUUUGUGACGGUACCUGGAGAAGAAGCACCGGCUAACUACGUG